Armigeres subalbatus is the source of this 1405-nucleotide long non-coding RNA. RefSeq lists it as uncharacterized. Lineage: Eukaryota; Metazoa; Arthropoda; Insecta; Diptera; Culicidae. The transcript is spliced from 5 exons. The record is from RefSeq and is a predicted model, not a curated record.
UUCUGACAGUUGUCAAAAAAUGCGCGGUUAUCGAUAUCGUUCGACCUCGAGCUGACAACUUUUAAGAAAAGUGAAAAAGUUAGGCUACUACUAAUAUUAAAAACGGAAUACAGCCUAAUCAAUCGAAUUAGAUGCAAUUCCUUUAUCGGCACUAUCUACGAUGGAGACGAUGAGCACCACAGGUACAUUCUGUUUGGGCAGCGUUCCGUUGCGGACAUGAACGAAACGGAAAUCGAACUCCUGUCGGGAAUAUGCAGCGAAGGAGGACAAUGAAAGCUGAUCCGGGUAAAAGCCCUGUGGAAAGUCCAACUUGCAGGAUUUUUUCUCAUCAUCGAUGCUGAGCAGCCAGAGAUGUGAAAUGAUUGCCAGCUCAAGAUUGGCGAUAAACGGUUGGAUGGGAGUUACUUUUCCGGUCCAUAAUAAUCCUGCAGUCCUUCUGGAAGCGGCAUUGGUUCGGCGUUGCAACUCCUGCCAUGAAAAGGCAGCAAAAGUCUUCGGCAAAGCGAUAACAGCGUUGUUGUCCUUUAUGGUCUGAUGGAAGCGAUAGAGCAAGAGCGAGGGUGGUCGAAAAAUCAGGUUGAUAUACCAUAAUACCAUAUGCUUGGCCAAUCCUUGAGGCCUAGAUGUCAAGACUUCCUUGUUCAGGUUGGAUGGAGUGAGAGCUCAACGGAAGGUAAAGAUGUUCAACCAAUCAAAAUCAACAGAAUGGGUUAUAUGUAUUUACAUAACGCAUCGCAAAGGGGUCUCCAGUAGCCUUGCGAGCAAAAGCGUAGGAUUGCCAAUCCGGAAAUGGCAAGUUCGAUUCUCGGUCCGGUCCGGUCCGGCCCUGGGCAUAGUGUAUACAUUGUACACAGAGGGCAUAGUUUUCUGAACAGGACAUGAACCGCUCGAUCGACUUCGUUCAGGAGGAGAAGUGGAUGAUCAUGGACAGCGAUGGAGAAGACUGUUCCAGAUAUGACUGAAUAUCCGGGUCCAUACCUCAAGGAGGCGUUCUAUUCAGGAAAGUUUUUCACGCAUAGGCAAUGGUUGAUUGGAAGUUGAACGGCAGUCUACGAUUGGAGGAAAUAUCUCAUCUUCGAGGAACGCAUCUGUUGAGACCGAUCGCGUUCGGAGAUGUAUGCGUGGAGUUGCAUGGGGACUAGGAUAGUGACACGAUGCAGAUCUAGAUCGACGGUUCGCUGAGAGGUUGGCACGAGUGAUAAAGCACACUGUUUUCAACGUGAGUGUUUGCAUCGGAUAUCGUUGGAGCUGUCGAGGGAAAUUCACGUAGUGUUGGACAGCUACAAAAGCACACGAAAUUGUUUAAAAUUUAAUUCGCAAUACAUCUUUCGAUCGCGGAAGAUCAGUACGUGGCAAUACCAGACAGGGUUUCUUUUCCAGUUUAAGAAUAAAUUAAAUAAAUAAA